AUUAAAAAAGAAAAAAGAAAACCCUUCGUCCCCCUUUCUCUUUCUCUCUCUCCGUCCCUCCCUCUCUCACUUCCAAAACCGACAGCCUCUCUCUCUCUCUCUCUCUCUCUCUCUCUCCCCGCCCCCCAUUCCAUCCUCCCAAAAUUGACAACCUAUCUCUCUCACUUUAAAUGAUAGAGUAGAGAGCUCCCCUUUGGAUUUGUAGAUCUCAACAAGCUCAUGUAAUUUCAAUGGCAGACCUGUUCGAUUCUCGCGCUCGCAUCAGAUUUAAGGAGUGUCUAUUUGACGAUAGCAACAGCACGCCCAGAGACAUUAUUUGCUGAUACAGCUAUCGCGGUGCAUCCCAAGGCUUUAGAUUACGACGACAAUGAAGGACUGGAUUUUGUGACAACUUAAGAAUCUACUUUUAGAGAUUGUUGAAUGAUGAUGCUGUCACAAGAUAGAAUUAGGAGGGGCCUUAGAUCUUGGAAGGUUGGAAAGGCAUAUGUAUUAUCAUACAUCAUUAUGAAGGGUUGAGAAGUUUCUAGCGAUUUUAGAGGAUAAUGCUGGUUGAUGCUUCAGUUGUUUUAGUAUUUCCCAAACAGCUAAAAGAGAUAGGUAAAGUAAUCAUCAGUCUUAAUUUCCAACUUGUAUUGUUGUGUCUGCAUAAGAUUCGAGUAUUUCCAUGUUUGCACCCAACAUGAAGCUUGUAGUUGGCUGUAAAACAUCGAUCAUGAAUAGAGUAAUAGAUGCUUGCCCACCUCUAUACAUGAAUCUGCUCCGCUUCCUGUCAUAUUUUGUGCAACCAUAUCUCAGAUUUUUCUCCAGGUGGAAAUUAAUUUAGAUGGUUCUCUUGAAAGCACCUUUAUUUCUUUCUUUAUUUUAGAGUGCA
Long non-coding RNA from Magnolia sinica, 871 nucleotides. RefSeq lists it as uncharacterized. The transcript is spliced from 4 exons. NCBI's taxonomy places the organism in Eukaryota, Viridiplantae, Streptophyta, Magnoliopsida, Magnoliales, Magnoliaceae. The record is from RefSeq and is a predicted model, not a curated record.